Molecule: unclassified non-coding RNA, 296 nt
Filed under: fungal sp.
Lineage: Eukaryota; Fungi
Description: partial internal transcribed spacer region
Rfam family: Eukaryotic small subunit ribosomal RNA (bases 1-46)
Source: RNAcentral
AAGUCGUAACAAGGUUUCCGUAGGUGAACCUGCGGAAGGAUCAUUAUUGAAUACUAUUAUUUUUAGUUUUCAACUUUUAAACCCCUUUGUUUACCUAUACCAUGUUGCUUUCACUGGACAGGUUAAUCAUGUUAUUUUACAUGUAACUGCCCUUUAGCUUGUUGCUCUUUUUAGUACAAGUUGGAGAGUUGCCAGUGAAUGAAAAUUAUACCUAAAACUCUUGAAUAAAAACAUUGUCUAACUUUUGUUUAUUGAAAAAUAAAAUAAAACUUUCAACAACGGAUCUCUAGGCUCUU